This is a long non-coding RNA of Callithrix jacchus (white-tufted-ear marmoset), 1989 nucleotides long. RefSeq lists it as uncharacterized. The record is from RefSeq and is a predicted model, not a curated record. NCBI's taxonomy places the organism in Eukaryota, Metazoa, Chordata, Mammalia, Primates, Cebidae.
AGACAGAGCCUUUGGUCCCUCUCCUUAGGCCCCUCCUGUGAUAGUCGAAGAGGCCUAGGAACGCUGAGAGAGCCAUGGCCUCCGCUUCUCUGGAGCCUGCUUAUCUUGAGAGAGCAUGACAGCCUCAGCAGAAUGGUGUCCAAGACGCAGGGGAGAGAAAGAUUGAUUUGGCCCGGUGGGACGGUCCAGCAAAGCUUCCCAGAGCAGAUGAAGAAACCAAGUUGCCCAAGAUCACACAGCAAGAGGAGGCUCCGGCUCAAGCGCUUACUGCAAGUGCAGGGCCUCUGUCCUGGGCUGCCCUCUCUACCUCCUGCUGACCAGCCAGCUCCAGCCCAGGUCAUUCAGAGAGACACCACAAAGGCUGCACCUGCAGAUGCCACCCAGGUCCAUCCUCUGGUCCCCUGAUUUCACACAGGAGGCAUCAGCCACGUGCCAGAGGUGGCAGCUCCUCAGAAGUACCGAAACCUCUGGCUUUUGGAUGAAGUUGUAGCUCUAUGAUGGACUGUCCCCUUGGACUGCCAUGACCUGCUGCCCAGGCUGUGCACUGCACCACUCCAUCUGCCAUAGGUCUAACAGCCUGUAGCCUUGCUCUACAUUGUCACUGAUAAGUAGUCAUUAUUCUCUCCCUGUCUGCAUCUAUAGUCCUCAUUUUCAGUUGUGUACAUGGAGAAAAGGGAGGAGUCCUUCUCAUGGCCUUGGAGAGACCCACAGGAGCUUUCCCUAUCUCAGUAUCCCCACUGACACCUACUUUCUCGGUAGGCCUAGAUGGCUGACCUGAGAGCUCCGGGGCCAGACGCCCUUCCUCACUCCAGGAACUUGGAGCUGCCAGGCAGAGUGGGCUUCUGUUUACCGCCUUGGGCUAAAGACGUAUGUCAGCAAUUGGCGAAGCACAGGGAAGUUGCAGCUCAACUCGCUAGACUGGCAAAUGCAUGCUGCGCCCUCCUCUCACUAUAAGGAUAUAAAACGACCAUUUCUUUAUACUCAGAAACCAGAACACUUCCCUCUGCCGGGUCCUCCUGCCUCCCCCUGCUCAGCCCCAAGGGGCUCCCAGAAUGCCCUGGGGCCUAUGGCAAUGGGGAAAGAACUGAAGGGGAAACGGAGAGCCACCCUGGGACAGUGGAGGGCAGAAGCAUUAUUAAGUACCUGCUGUAUGCUGGCCCUUAACUGUUUUUUCAUCUAAUUAUCAAAAUAGCCCUGGGAAAGGAAGUCAGAAGCGCAGGGGACAGAAGGAGCAUGGUUCGAAUCCCGGCUCUGUCCCUCAUCAGCUGGAGACUUGGGAGAGUUACUCGUCUAUAAAAUGGAGAUAAUAACAGUAACUACGUCCACAGGGCUGGUGUGCAGAGGCCAUGAAGCCAUCCACUGCAGGGUGAGAGUGGGGCAAGGACGAGCGGUGGCGAGGUGGGGAGGAGAGACCCUGGUUCAGCCUUGGGGUCCUCUGGGACUGCCGAUCUGCCUCCCGGACUCCGUUCUCCAGGCGGAGGGCUGGACCCUGCCGUGCCGCUGUUAAUUCGCCUCCGGGCCGCUGGCCGGUGAGUGGGAGGAGGAGAGCGCCGGGUGAAGCGGGGUGAGGACUCUCCAGCAAGUGCUCCCUCCAUCUGCCGUCAGCCCAGAGUCCCAGAGCCCCGGAUCGCAGCCUCCCUGCUGGCCGAGCCCCCAACACCCGCGGCGCGCCCCUCAGAGCAAUUACGUAACGAAGCCUCCGGUGCGCCGCGGAGAGGCCGCCUUUGUUAUUGCGAUCCUCCUCGGCAGCGGCCCCGCGAGUAUUAAUAAACCGAUCACUCAAAACGCCAGCCUGGGCUUUAUUUACGUAGAUUUGGGUUGGGGCGCCUCCGAGGGAAUUAUCCCCGCGGCCCGCCCGUCCCCCAGGAGGGAGAGAGGUGGAAUCCCUUCCCUCCCCUCCCCUCUGGUCUUUCACCUUCCCUUCAGCUCAGAGGCCCUCCCCCACCCACCUUGCUGAGCAGCCUGGUCCCAGCAGUGCAAACAAGAAUA